UGGCCCAAUCCUCUCAGCAAAACGACGGCGUUGUGCCGUCCGAUAAUGAAGACGGAGUUUCUCUUGGCACGUUAAAAUUGCCAGGGAAUACUGAUCUUCAACGUUUCGAAUCUUUGCUAUUUCAGGUAUGCGAUAAUAGUUUAUUUUUAAACAAAAAAGUCAUCAUACAUAUAAUGAACAUUAAAUGAAAAAAUAACAGUAUUUCAAGAUCACCCAACACUUGGAAAAUUCCACUAACCACAAGGUCUUUGAUGCUAAAUAGUAAAGUAUGCGUACCAGGGAAAUUUCUUCUCCGUAUGUGGCGCCCUCCUAGCGAUCAAAAAACAUCGUUGCGUAUUGAUAAGUAAGCGUGUGAAGUUGGACCGUGUAGAAAUUUGUAGAUUGCUUUUCAACCUUCGUGGA
Molecule: long non-coding RNA, 402 nt
Filed under: Citrus maxima (pomelo)
Lineage: Eukaryota; Viridiplantae; Streptophyta; Magnoliopsida; Sapindales; Rutaceae
Description: long non-coding RNA (CMAX_LNC002862)
Source: RNAcentral